Molecule: ribosomal RNA, 254 nt
Filed under: uncultured bacterium
Lineage: Bacteria
Description: partial 16S ribosomal RNA
Rfam family: Bacterial small subunit ribosomal RNA
Source: RNAcentral
UACGUAGGGGGCAAGCGUUGUCCGGAUUUACUGGGCGUAAAGGGCGCGUAGGCGGCCACCGCAAGUCGACUGUGAAAUCUCCGGGCUUAACCCGGAAAGGUCAGCCGAUACUGCGGGGCUAGAGUGCAGAAGGGGCAACUGGAAUUCUCGGUGUAGCGGUGAAAUGCGUAGAUAUCGAGAGGAACACCUGCGGCGAAGGCGGGUUGCUGGGCUGACACUGACGCUGAUGUGCGAAAGCUAGGGGAGCGAACAGG